This 253-nucleotide ribosomal RNA is filed under the name uncultured bacterium. Its description in RNAcentral is "partial 16S ribosomal RNA". It matches the Rfam family "Bacterial small subunit ribosomal RNA", at positions 524 to 776 of the family's 1533-position model. The record is from RNAcentral.
GACAGAGGGUGCAAACGUUGUUCGGAAUUACUGGGCGUAAAGCGUGUGUAGGCGGUCGGCUAAGUCGGAUGUGAAAGCCCGAGGCUCAACCUCGGAAGUGCACUCGAUACUGGCCGGCUAGAGUACUGGAGAGGUUGGUGGAAUUCUCGGUGUAGAGGUGAAAUUCGUAGAUAUCGAGAGGAACACCGGUGGCGAAGGCGGCCAACUGGACAGAUACUGACGCUGAGACACGAAAGCGUGGGGAGCAAACAGG